Molecule: long non-coding RNA, 578 nt
Filed under: Monodelphis domestica (gray short-tailed opossum)
Lineage: Eukaryota; Metazoa; Chordata; Mammalia; Didelphimorphia; Didelphidae
Description: lncRNA (ENSMODG00000041085.1)
Source: RNAcentral
AUGCAGUUAACAGACACAUCAGCCAUUCCACCCUCCAAGCAUUUGAGAGGCCAUCUGCACACACACCACCAAGCCUUCUGCCACCAGGAAGUGGUCACUUCCUCCUUUGCUGCAGAGUAUCCUCAUGAUGAUGGAAUGAGCAAGAAUAAAUGGACUGACUCAAGAGUAAGAGGAAACCUCAGAUCAACCAUGAAGAGAAUGAUCUCAUCUAGGAAAUCUACUCAACAGUUGCAGACCCACCUACCUCUGACAUUCUAUGACUCUCUGAAAUUAGAAUAUAUGCCUGAGAAGAAAAAGAAGACAAGAAGGGAAAAUAUAGGGCAUCGGGGUGUAGGGAAGCCUCCAAAGACAACGACACUCCCCCUUGAUUUAAGACUCUGGCCUUUGAGAUUUAUAUAACCCACAUUUUAUCAGUCUGUCUGGCUUUUUUCUAAUCUUAUGGUAAAGCAGCGGCAAUGAAACCACAGGGGAGAGCUCAUCUCUCUUGCAAAGGAACACACUAAACACAUUAAAGAGGAAUUAGAAAAGGCCUGGGGUUUGCUUUCUGUUUGCUUAAUGGACAUCAGUUGCCUGUUAAC